GGAAUAUUGCGCAAUGGAGGAAACUCUGACGCAGUGACGCCGCGUAUAGGAAGAAGGUUUUAGGAUUGUAAACUAUUUUAGACAGGGAAGAUAAAUGACAGUACCUGUAGAAUAAGCUCCGGCUAACUACGUGCCAGCAGCCGCGGUAAUACGUAGGGAGCAAGCGUUAUCCGGAAUUAUUGGGUGUAAAGGGUGCGUAGACGGGAAUUUAAGUUGGUUGUGAAAUCCCUCGGCUCAACUGAGGAACUGCAACCAAAACUGGAUUUCUUGAGUGCAGGAGAGGAAAGCGGAAUUCCUAGUGUAGCGGUGAAAUGCGUAGAUAUUAGGAGGAACACCAGUGGCGAAGGCGGCUUUCUGGACUGUAACUGACGUUGAGGCACGAAAGUGUGGGGAGCAAACA
RNAcentral lists this ribosomal RNA (400 nucleotides) under uncultured bacterium. Its description in RNAcentral is "bacterial SSU rRNA". It matches the Rfam family "Bacterial small subunit ribosomal RNA", at positions 358 to 774 of the family's 1533-position model. The record is from RNAcentral.